Molecule: ribosomal RNA, 1374 nt
Filed under: uncultured bacterium
Lineage: Bacteria
Description: bacterial SSU rRNA
Rfam family: Bacterial small subunit ribosomal RNA
Source: RNAcentral
GAUUGAACGCUGGCGGUAUGCUUAACACAUGCAAGUCGAACGGAAACGACACUAGCUUGCUAGUAGGCGUCGAGUGGCGGACGGGUGAGUAACGCGUAGGAAUCUGCCUGAUAGUGGGGGAUAGCCCGAAGAAAUUCGGAUUAAUACCGCAUAAUCUAUUCGUAGUAAAGUGGGGGACUUUCGAGCCUCACGCUAUCAGAUGAGCCUGCGUAAGAUUAGCUAGUUGGUAGGGUAAAAGCCUACCAAGGCUACGAUCUUUAGCUGGUCUGAGAGGAUGAUCAGCCACAUCGGGACUGAGACACGGCCCGAACUCCUACGGGAGGCAGCAGUGGGGAAUAUUGGACAAUGGGGGCAACCCUGAUCCAGCAAUACCGCGUGUGUGAAGAAGGCCUGAGGGUUGUAAAGCACUUUCAAUUGUGAAGAAAAGUUAACGGUUAAUAACCGUUAGCCUUGACGUUAACUUUAGAAGAAGCACCGGCUAACUCCGUGCCAGCAGCCGCGGUAAUACGGAGGGUGCAAGCGUUAAUCGGAAUUACUGGGCGUAAAGCGUGCGUAGGCGGUUUAUUAAGUCAGAUGUGAAAGCCCCGGGGCUUAACCUGGGAACUGCAUUUGAAACUGGUCAACUAGAGUAUGGUAGAGGAAAGUGGAAUUUCUGGUGUAGCGGUGAAAUGCGUAGAUAUCAGAAGGAACAUCAAUGGCGAAGGCAGCUUUCUGGACCAAUACUGACGCUGAGGUACGAAAGCGUGGGUAGCAAACAGGAUUAGAUACCCUGGUAGUCCACGCCGUAAACGAUGAUAACUAGCCGUUGGGGGGAUUUACCCUUUAGUGGCGAAGCUAACGCGUUAAGUUAUCCGCCUGGGGAGUACGGCCGCAAGGUUAAAACUCAAAGGAAUUGACGGGGACCCGCACAAGCGGUGGAGCAUGUGGUUUAAUUCGAUGCAACGCGAAGAACCUUACCUGGUCUUGACAUCCUGCGAACUUUCUAGAAAUAGAUUGGUGCCUUCGGGAACGCAGUGACAGGUGCUGCAUGGCUGUCGUCAGCUCGUGUCGUGAGAUGUUGGGUUAAGUCCCGUAACGAGCGCAACCCCUAUCCUUAUUUGCCAGCACGUCAUGGUGGGAACUAUAAGGAGACUGCCGGUGAUAAACCGGAGGAAGGCGGGGACGACGUCAAGUCAUCAUGGCCCUUACGACCAGGGCUACACACGUGCUACAAUGGGAAGGACAAAGAGCCGCGAAGCCGCGAGGUGUAGCUAAUCUCAGAAACCUUUUCGUAGUCCGGAUUGGAGUCUGCAACUCGACUCCAUGAAGUCGGAAUCGCUAGUAAUCGUAGAUCAGAAUGCUACGGUGAAUACGUUCCCGGGUCUUGUACACACC